This is a long non-coding RNA of Cyprinus carpio carpio, 940 nucleotides long. Lineage: Eukaryota; Metazoa; Chordata; Actinopteri; Cypriniformes; Cyprinidae. The record is from Ensembl.
UUAUUUAUUUCUGUAUUUCCACAUUUCUACAUGUAUUUUUCCCUGCGCCUGUAUGCUAAUUGAGUUGGGGGUGCCAACAUCAGUCUGAAGAAGGAUUGGUUAGCUGGAGGCCGCAUCGCUAACCAGACAGAAGCAAACGAUCCAUCUAUCAGGCUACCUAUGAAUGCUGCGGCUAGUGUGUAAUACAAUCUAUCUAUGGUAAUGAGUUGGGCGGUGCUUAACUGUGGAUCGUCCGUUUUCAACAUGGCGGUCGGGUCAGGAACUUUCCCAUUUUAGAGGUCCAUCAUGCACUGCGCAGUCGGAUCUACUGAUUGAUUGGUGACAUCCAUCAGCGGAUCCUGUGUGUCUCCAGCAUUUUAUGCAUGUGGGAUCUCCAGCUGGAGAGACGAAAUGGCUUCAAGUGGGAGGCCGUUGGCGGACCUGUUGCGCGAUGUGGCUCACCAGCUCAAAAGAACAUCGGGUGGUUCAUCAAAUUCAUCACCUCAGCCGCCAGAUAGGCCUAAUGUUAACGUUAAUGUUAAUGUUUCCAUAGUAGGAAAAAAAUAUUCUAUGGAAGUCAAUGGGACCCAGAAACUGUCUGGUUACUGACAUUCUUCUAAAUAUCUUCCUUUCUGUUCAGCAGAAGAAAUUCAUACAGGUUUUAAACAACAUGAGGCCUCUCCAAACAUACUUGGAAAACUUGUGCAGUUCUGGGUGGGCUGGAAUGUGCUUCCCAGGACAUUACAAAGAAUAUAGUGUCUUUGAAAGAGAAGUCCAUGCUGCUAUUUUGAGUGUUGAUACUGGUUUUGGAAUGGUCUAGGGACAUUCAUCAUAUAUAAUGUGUGCACCAUAACAUUUUGUUAUAUUGUUGCCUUUGAUUUUUUUUAAAAAUAGUACAGUAAAACUGUACUGAACAGUGAAUGAGUUCAGAGUUAAAGAAUAAAAAGCAUUUGCAUGUAGC